UACGAAGGGGGCUAGCGUUGUUCGGAAUUACUGGGCGUAAAGGGCGCGUAGGCGGUGUGUCAAGUCAGGCGUGAAAGCCCCGGGCUCAACCUGGGAACAGCGCUUGAGACUGGCACGCUCGAGUUCGGGAGAGGAUGGUGGAAUUCCCAGUGUAGAGGUGAAAUUCGUAGAUAUUGGGAAGAACACCUAUGGCGAAGGCAGCUCGCUGGGACGUUACUGACGCUGAGACGCGAAAGCGUGGGGAGCAAACAGG
RNAcentral lists this ribosomal RNA (253 nucleotides) under uncultured bacterium. RNAcentral describes it as "partial 16S ribosomal RNA". It matches the Rfam family "Bacterial small subunit ribosomal RNA", at positions 524 to 776 of the family's 1533-position model. The record is from RNAcentral.